UACGAAGGGGGCUAGCGUUGCUCGGAAUUACUGGGCGUAAAGGGCGCGUAGGCGGACAGUUUAGUCAGAGGUGAAAGCCCAGGGCUCAACCUUGGAAAUGCCUUUGAUACUGGCUGUCUUGAGUUCGGGAGAGGUGAGUGGAAUGCCGAGUGUAGAGGUGAAAUUCGUAGAUAUUCGGCGGAACACCAGUGGCGAAGGCGACUCACUGGCUCAUUACUGACGCUCAGGCGCGAUAGCGUGGGGAUCAAACAGG
RNAcentral lists this ribosomal RNA (253 nucleotides) under uncultured bacterium. RNAcentral's name for it is "partial 16S ribosomal RNA". It matches the Rfam family "Bacterial small subunit ribosomal RNA", at positions 524 to 776 of the family's 1533-position model. The record is from RNAcentral.